GACGAACGCUGGCGGCGCGCUUAACACAUGCAAGUCGAGCGAGAACCAGGACUUCGGUCCCGGGGACAGCGGCGAACGGGUGAGUAACACGUGGAUAACCUGCCCUCGGCACCGGGAUAGCCCGGGGAAACCCGGAUUAAUACCGGAUGGCCCUUCCGGCUCACGAGCCGGUCGGAAAAGGUAGCUUCGGCCUCCGGCCGAGGAUGGGUCCGCGGCGGAUUAGCUUGUUGGUGGGGUAACGGCCUACCAAGGCUCCGAUCCAUAGCUGGUCUGAGAGGACGAUCAGCCACACUGGGACUGAGACACGGCCCAGACUCCUACGGGAGGCAGCAGGGGGGAAUCUUGCGCAAUGGGCGAAAGCCUGACGCAGCGACGCCGCGUGAGGGAGGAAGGCCUUCGGGUUGUAAACCUCUUUCAGGAGGGACGAAGCUACUCGGGUGAAUAGCCCAGAGGGUGACGGUACCUCCAGAAGAAGCCCCGGCUAACUACGUGCCAGCAGCCGCCGCCG
Molecule: ribosomal RNA, 508 nt
Filed under: uncultured bacterium
Lineage: Bacteria
Description: partial 16S ribosomal RNA
Rfam family: Bacterial small subunit ribosomal RNA
Source: RNAcentral